CCGUAGGUGAACCUGCGGAGGGAUCAUUACACAAUAAAAUACGAAGGCCGUUCGCGGCUGGACUAUUUAUUACCCUUGUCUUUUGCGCACUUGUUGUUUCCUGGGCGGGUUCGCUCGCCACCAGGACCACAAUAUAAACCUUUUUUAUGCAGUUGCAAUCAGCGUCAGUAUAACAAAUGUAAAUCAUUUACAACUUUCAACAACGGAUCUCUUGGUUCUGGCAUCGAUGAAGAACGCAGCGAAAUGCGAUACGUAGUGUGAAUUGCAGAAUUCAGUGAAUCAUCGAAUCUUUGAACGCACAUUGCGCCCUUUGGUAUUCCAAAGGGCAUGCCUGUUCGAGCGUCAUUUGUACCCUCAAGCUUUGCUUGGUGUUGGGCGUUUUUGUCCCCCCCAAAAAGGGGACUCGCCUUAAAAGGAUUGGCAGCCGGCCUACUGGUUUCGCAGCGCAGCACAUUUUUGCGCUUGCAAUCAGCAAAAGAGGACGGCAAUCCAUCAAGACUCCUUCUCACGUUUGACCUCGGAUCAGGUAGGGAUACCCGCUGAACUUAAGCAUAUCAAUAAGCGGAGGAAAAGAAACCAACAGGGAUUGCCCUAGUAAC
RNAcentral lists this ribosomal RNA (599 nucleotides) under Curvularia sp. BAB-3891. RNAcentral describes it as "eukaryotic LSU rRNA". The stretch from base 192 to 345 matches the Rfam family "5.8S ribosomal RNA". The record is from RNAcentral. Lineage: Eukaryota; Fungi; Ascomycota; Dothideomycetes; Pleosporales; Pleosporaceae.